This 6229-nucleotide long non-coding RNA is filed under the name Citrus sinensis (sweet orange). Its description in RNAcentral is "long non-coding RNA (CSIN_LNC004296)". Lineage: Eukaryota; Viridiplantae; Streptophyta; Magnoliopsida; Sapindales; Rutaceae. The record is from RNAcentral.
UUUUUUUAUGUCACUUAAACAAACACAUGGAGUCAAGUGUGCUUGUUAGUUAUGGCUGUUAAUUUUGACAGGAAGCUGCUGCAACUAACAAACCCAGAAACAGCCUUCCUAAAGGUUGGUUCUGGUGCAUUCUUCUCAGAUCUAGUCAUAAGAAUUGAGAGAGAAGGUUAGUUACUUGUAUUCUCUGUAUCUAUCUCAUGUUCUGUGUAGAUCUUUGAUUCAAUAUCGUGAACGCUCGAAGCUUGUUUCCUCAGUGGAUGCAGGUUCCUUCAACAGGUGCUGAACCUCUUAACUCUUGUGUGUUUGUCUUUGUUUUGUUUCUGUUCUUGAUCGAUUAUUGAGUGUGUGCAUAUCUUGAUCUGUGAAUCUUGCAUCUUGUAAGCAGAAUUAGGUUUUAGGGUGAAUUUGAUCUGAUUUAUAAGGGUUGAAUUCACGACUCUUAGAGAUGCAUUUGCCUGCAUAGGAAGAACAGGCCAAAAAUAACUUACAUGAUCCGAUUCCAAGCUUUUAACUGGGGGUUAUUUAGAUAAGUUAAUUUUGUCUUCAUACUUUAAUUGUCAUUAAUUUUCUCUGACCUAUGAAAUUUUAAAUUCCAUGACAUUAACUAAUGUGAUUGUUCUAGUGGAUUUCUGACUCAAAAUUUGUACCUAGAAUGCUUGUCUUUAACAACAGCAACAUUUGAUGCCGCCAUGGCACAUCUCAUUUUUGCCAUUACCUUUAUCUUGGCUAUUUGUUUUUGGAAUCGUGUCAAUCAUAUUGUGUUAUAAUUUAUGCCAAUUAAAAAUAUGUUAUUAAUUAAUAUGGAAGGGAUAGUAAUAUGCUCAUGGCUUAGCAAAAUGAUCACAAAGACUUCAUUAUUUUUAUAAAUAGUCAUAUCGACUCAUGCUUAGGUAAUUAUGCUUUAUGAGGUCAAAGGCUAUAAUUGUCCAAGAAAUAUCUAUGUGACAAUUUCUAAAAAUAUAGUAUGUGUCCACUUCGCCAAACCACAAGCAUAUUAACUCGUAACCACUAAUUUUAAUUUCUAUAACUAGAAUGGAGAAACUGGGACGGGAGAAACCAAGUGGGAAGGCUAAAAUUAGGCUUGGCAAUUUAAGGGCCUUGGCCUGGGCUUGGCAUAUAAUGUUUUAAAAGUCUAGGCCCUCUCAAAGCCCAUCUAAAUUGGGCGGACCUGGGCUUUUACGAAUUGUCAAAUAUUUUUUUAAUAAAACUAUAAAUUUUCAAAACAUAAUUAUUCAAUACAUAAUACUACAAUAGGCUAAAAACUUAAACAUAAUUCUCUAAUACAUGAUUAGCCAACACACAAAAUAUGAAAAUACUAACAUCACAAGUACCGUACACAACAUACAAAUCAACCACUAAUAUAAAAAAGAAACUAAUCCAAUAUUUGCGGGCCAUCUUCGUCCUCAUCCUUCAAUUCCUCGCCAGUACAAAUUUCUUCUUCAGGAACUCCACCUAAUAAAAAAAAAGGUGUUAAAAUAAAUAAUAAAGCAAAAUAAUUAGUAAUUAAUUUUGUAAAAAAUAUUUUUAUACCUCCAUUGCUAGUAGCCCAUAACCAAUGCUGAGAGCACAUGAUAGCUUCCAACGUGUCUGGAUGUAGUCUACUCCGUUGUGGACUCAAUGUUCUACCCCUCGUACUAAAAGCCGACUCCAAGGCAACAGUUGUCACAGGUAUGGCUAGCAAAUCCUUGGUUAUCUCCGCCAAAAUAGGAUAUUUACCUUUGUUCAUCUUCCACCAUUGUAAAACAUCAAAAUCCAGAGUUCUUUUUACUAAAGGAUCCUCCAAAUACCUAUCUAAGUCGGACUUCGAACUAAUAGGUUGACUAUUUUGGGUUGCAUAUGCAUCAAAUCACCCAUAUCAUCUAUAUCAUCAAAAUCAAUAUGAGAUUGGUCGGGAGGAACAACAAGUGCGGUAAAAGACUCACCAACAACACUGUAUCUCGUAGUUGCGGAUUUGGCCUCAUAAUAAUUCAUCAUUUCAUCACAAAGCUCUCGCACUCUCUUAAGUUGAUUUUCAAGGCCGACUACAUAAAUCUUCAGAUAAUAAUAAUUAAUCAACAUCAUCUUGUAUCUCGGAUCAAGAAUAACAAUCAUGACCAAUACCCCACUAAUCUCAUCCCAAUACUUCAAAAAAAUUUCAAUCAUGUUAUCCGCCAUAUUCUUAACUACAAGAACAUAUGAUGUUUGCCACCCCUUCAAUGCAAUCCUCAUUUUACAAACCAAUGGAAAAAAUAGAUUAGCAGUGGGGUAUGUUGUACCCGAAAACAUCUCAGUCAACCUUGAAAAAGGCCUCAAAUAAUCUAGCAUUUGCUUAGCCAGCUCCCAUUCUUCACUACUAGGCAAACACUUGUAUUGCGGCUCAAGUGUUUGCAGUCGAGAAAAAACACUUUCGUACUUCACUACAAGUUCAAGCAUCGCAAAAGUCGAAUUCCAUCUAGUUGGACAAUCAAGCCCCAACGUUUUCACAUCCGUUUGCAUUUGACGACAUGCCAACUUAAACUUUUCCACUUGUUUUGGCGAUGAACUCCAGUAAGACACACUAUCUCUAACACGUGUAAUACCACUCUCAAUCACCGACAACCCAUCCUUCACAAUUAAAUUCAAAAUAUGAGCCGCACAACUCAUAUGAAAAAAAUUACUGCUCAAUAUCAUUGACUUAGUUGACAACAAUCCCUUCAAUCUUUGAACCAUCGCAUCAUUAGUUGAACAAUUAUCCAAAGAAACUGUGGAUAACUUUCUAUCUAGAUUCCAAUCCAUCAAACACUUCACCAAAAUUUGGGAAAUGCAAUCAGCUGUAUGUGGGGCUUGCUCAUAUAUAAAUAUGUUCAUUCAAAAAAAUAAUAAAAAUUAUGCCAAGUUACAAAAAAAUUAAAUAAAAAAUUUUUAAAUUUAAUGAAGUACCUAUACUAUACAAAUUUAAAUACAAAAUUUUAAUAUUUAAUAAAGUAAAAAUACCUUAGGAUUCGACUUUGCAAAUGCCAAGAGUUGUCAAUGAAAUGUCCUGUAACAACCAUAUAAACUUUCUUUUGAUUACAAGCCGUCCACGUGUCUGUAGUAAUUACUACCCUACUAUUAUUAAUCUCUAACAAAUUCAUUGCCUUCCCCUUUUCAACAUUAUAUAUCUUAAAGAUCUCACUCUUUAAAGUGUUUCUGGACAUAUGCUUCACCAAUUGAUUGCAAUAAUCAACAAAAUCUAAGAGGAAGCUCAUGUUUAACAACAACUAUUGUAAGUUUUUUACGUGCAACCAAUGGAUCAAAUUUCGGAAUUCCAAGCUCACCACUUUCGAUUUUCACCAAGUGUUGCUUAUUCUCAAAAACUUCUUCAAUUGUCGGUUGAUUAAAACCAUGAAUUUGUCUAGUAUAUCUAUUCAAAUGACUGGUUCUCGAUCCACAAGAAAGAACCGUUCCGCAAUGAUUGCAUUUUGCCUUUGCUACACUACCAACAUUUAUUUUUGUGAAAUGGUCCCAACAAUUUGAAACAACCCUCUGCUUUCUUUUUUUAUCACUCCGCGUUUCUUCUUGAACAUUUUCCGACUCCACAGAUGGAUUUGAAGGCAAAUUAGAAGAUUUAGAAACAUUUUCCAUUAUAAACCUAUACAAAAUUAAAGGAGAUAAAAUAAUUAAUUAAUUAAUUAAUUAAAAAGUGUAAAUGCAGUAAACGCAUACUGCAUUUACAAGCACAUGAGUGACAGGACAACAAAUUUACAAUGUCCAGAACUACAUACAAUAUCUAUACAAUGGAGACAUCACCUUAAUACAGGCUGAGAAAAAUAAUAUGAAUAUGAAAAUUAAACAUCAUUGAGAAAUAUAAACACUUUGCAAUUGAAGACAGGAAAUAAAUUCUAUAUCAUUCGUACCUUCACAAUUCUGUUCCAAAGUUCCAAAAUCAAAGCAAGAAGUGAAACUAGUAUCAUCUCAAUCAUAGUACACUAUGAACUGCAGGUUUGCUGCUCCUAAAAAUUGCAAUGCCAUGGCACUACUAUUUUCAGAAAAUGAACAAAGGAUCAAGAUUGCAUGGCCCUAUGGAUACCAUCAACUGUUGAUGUAUGUUAUUAGGAAUUAAUCACUAACAAUCAAUUACAAGGGAUUCACUUAAAUUAACUCAAAUGGCAGGCCAGCAACCUACACACGCAAAAAAGGAAAAAAAAAAAAAAGGACGGCUGUGCUGGUAUUCCAAACUACAAAAUAAAAAAAUUUGAAGCUUUAUUGACAUGGAUUACCAGAGUUAGAUGCAGUGUCGCGUGGCUUGCUGGUGGGUGGGAGGCGCGGCUGCGACACGCGGGAGAUGCUGUUGCUGCCUUGCUGGAUGGCUGGACGGUGGGUGGUUGGGCGGUGGGUUACGCCUUACGUGGGAGAUGCUCGCUACUGCUGCUGCUGGAUGGUGGGUCGUUGAUGGCUGAUGCUGGCUGGAUGCUGCUGGAAUCUGGAGAUGCUCGCUGCUGUUGGCUAUCGGCAGCGAGAACAGUGAGACGCCAACACGGUGAUGCUGUGACAUUGAGUGAGAUUUUGUCAUGGUGCUCACGAAUAGAGGGAUUUAGGGAUUUUGUCACAGUUCAGUAGUUCACACUUUACAAAACCUUUGCCCGAUUUUUUAAUUGUUUUGUUUAUGUUUUUUUUUUCAGUUUUUUUUUAAUUUCAAUUUUAUAAUAUAUUAUAUAGUUUUUUUUUCUUUAAAAAAAAUUAUAUAUAUUAUUUAUUAUAAAGUCCGGGCUUAAGCCUAGGCUUUUCAUUCAGGCCCUUGACUGAACCCAUAUAUUAUGGGCUUUAUUAAUUAUGAGCCCUUAUCCAUAAUUUCAAGCCGUGGGCCUAGGCUGGGCCGGCACGGGUUUGGGCCGGCCUGAGCUUUUCUGCCAAUCCUAACUAAAUAUUGGGAACAAUAAUGGCAAUAGGAGGAGCAAUGGUGCUUGCUCUCUAUAAAGAAACUGAACUUACCAUUUGGUCAACAUAUAUUAACUUAUUGCACCAAAAUAGCACAAUGGCACCAUCACCACCCAAAAAUUUCUAUAGCCAUUUGUUGAGUUCUUUGGCUUCUUUUGGGGCUUUUUUCUUUUGCAACUUGGCUGAUCAUUCAGGUGAUAAUGUCAACAACCAAAUACACUUUUUUUUUUAUUAUAUUAGAUACAUUUUUUGUAUAUAUCAACUUUGUAAUGAGUAUGUACAAUAUGAUUAAUUAAAACAAUUUUUUUUUUGGUAUAAUUUAUGUUUAGACUAAUAUGAGUAAGAGGCACCAAUGUCAUUACUCAAGCACAACUCUAAUAUCUUUAAUGGGAUCAAUCUAGUGUAUUGUUUGCGCGUUAUGCAUGGACAGAGAAUGGAAAGAACGGAAAUUGACUUGGAAUAUUCGACUGUGUACAGUUGCUUAUUCGGUAUAAUAUCUAGUAAAUUUUAUUUUAAACUUUAACAUUCCAUCCAGUAUUCGUUUAUUUUUAUAAUUUAAGUCAAUUCUCUUUUACUCCUUGUAUAUUUAUUUUUCAUAAAAUGUAUUUAACUAUUCAUUUAUUUUUCACAUAUUGCAUAUGAAAUUUUAUUUGAAUUUUAAGUUUUAUUAUAAAAACAUAUUCUUUUACUCAUAAAAAGUUAUAUUCAGUAGUUAUUUGGUAGUUUUUGAAAAUAUAAAUACUAAUUGAAUAAUUGGUACGGACCUUCAUAACUUUAGGGAAUUUGCCUCACGCUUUGAUUAUUGUUCUUAAUUUUCCUACUAGAUAAAUUUGUUAAUUAUAAUUUAUUAGUUGGCAAGUAUAAAUCAAUUUGAUAACAAGUAUAAAUCAGUUGAUGAUAAUAUACAUAGUAAUAAAUACGUGGUAACUAAUUAUAUUUAUCUAAUUAAUUUUGUAGGGAAUUGUGACCAAGUGAUAGUGACACUCGUAACAUGGAAUUCAGCUAGGAGAGGGCCAGUCUUUACGUCCAUAUCCUUUGUCAGUUCUGCUUGUAGCAAAUGGAGGAUCUUUGGUCUUGGAUGAAAAGCUUCGCUGUGGAAUAUUAAUUACAGCAAGAAUUGUUUUUGGUUAUUCUGAAUGCACUUAUUAGUUAAUUAUUUUAAGGAAAAACGAUAGUGAUAUCCGGGAUUCAGUAAAAUGGUCAUGAAAAUUAUCUUUUUUGUAGAAAUAAUAAUUCAUGUCUCUUCAUUAUGUGGUUAAAAACAAUUAUACAGACCUUAAGAUUUGUCUUAAAAAAAAUGUGUCCUAAAAAGCUGAAAAGGAUCUAUAUAAUUAUUUCAAAAUAUAAAAGAAAU